AGGGAGCAUUGGAUUUGGCCUCAAAAUUUCUGCCCUCAGAGAUUCUGGGUUUUCAACAGUGCUUCUCCUGAGAUGGUACACAUAACUACUAGUGUGUAGUGUCCAAUACCCACACUGAUGCCAUCUACACGGUAUCCUUGAUGAUGAGUAAAGGUGGGGUCCUAACUCCUGACAGAACUGAAAACCACUGAAAGUGACUGAAAGACAGCAGUGUUUGAAAUCCGCCUGCCAAAGAAAGUGCAAAACUUUACCUAGAUGGGAAAGAGUUGAAGUGGGACGAUAAGUAUGAAAUUGUCACAUCUGAUGAUGGAUUGGCCCAGACUGUGAAAACUAAGGAUGUUCAGUC
Molecule: long non-coding RNA, 346 nt
Organism: Aquila chrysaetos chrysaetos
Lineage: Eukaryota; Metazoa; Chordata; Aves; Accipitriformes; Accipitridae
Exons: 3
Source: RefSeq, a predicted model, not a curated record